AUCGCUUCUUGGCCUUUAGGCUAAGAUCAAGUGUAAUUUGGUCUGUUUAAUAAACUCUAACAUUUAAAUUGGAUAACCAAUUUCAGUCAACUUUUUGUUUCACACAAU
RNAcentral lists this small nuclear RNA (108 nucleotides) under Tupaia belangeri chinensis (Chinese tree shrew). Its description in RNAcentral is "Tupaia chinensis (Chinese tree shrew) U2 spliceosomal RNA". It matches the Rfam family "U2 spliceosomal RNA". From Rfam's summary of the family: U2 is a small nuclear RNA (snRNA) component of the spliceosome (involved in pre-mRNA splicing). Complementary binding between U2 snRNA (in an area lying towards the 5' end but 3' to hairpin I) and the branchpoint sequence (BPS) of the intron results the bulging out of an unpaired adenosine, on the BPS, which initiates a nucleophilic attack at the intronic 5' splice site, thus starting the first of two transesterification reactions that mediate splicing. The record is from Rfam by way of RNAcentral. Lineage: Eukaryota; Metazoa; Chordata; Mammalia; Scandentia; Tupaiidae.